GACGAACGCUGGCGGCGUGCCUAAUACAUGCAAGUAGAACGCUGAAGGAGGAGCUUGCUUCUCUGGAUGAGUUGCGAACGGGUGAGUAACGCGUAGGUAACCUGCCUGGUAGCGGGGGAUAACUAUUGGAAACGAUAGCUAAUACCGCAUAAGAGUAGAUGUUGCAUGACAUUUGCUUAAAAGGUGCAAUUGCAUCACUACCAGAUGGACCUGCGUUGUAUUAGCUAGUUGGUGAGGUAACGGCUCACCAAGGCAACGAUACAUAGCCGACCUGAGAGGGUGAUCGGCCACACUGGGACUGAGACACGGCCCAGACUCCUACGGGAGGCAGCAGUAGGGAAUCUUCGGUAAUGGACGGAAGUCUGACCGAGCAACGCCGCGUGAGUGAAGAAGGUUUUCGGAUCGUAAAGCUCUGUUGUAAGAGAAGAACGAGUGUGAGAGUGGAAAGUUCACACUGUGACGGUAUCUUACCAGAAAGGGACGGCUAACUACGUG
RNAcentral lists this ribosomal RNA (495 nucleotides) under uncultured bacterium. Its description in RNAcentral is "partial 16S ribosomal RNA". It matches the Rfam family "Bacterial small subunit ribosomal RNA", at positions 28 to 507 of the family's 1533-position model. The record is from RNAcentral.